Molecule: long non-coding RNA, 577 nt
Filed under: Ovis aries (sheep)
Lineage: Eukaryota; Metazoa; Chordata; Mammalia; Artiodactyla; Bovidae
Description: lncRNA (ENSOARG00000025431.1)
Source: RNAcentral
AUGCUAUUUGCGUGGGAUCCGGUGGUCUGGACGACGUUCCCUGGCCUUGAGUCUCUGGGAUGCCCACCCUGGACCACACUUAGUCCUGCCCUUGUUCUGCGCAGAUGGUUGCCAUGGAGGAUGAUUGGACAGGGCAAGCUCGGCUGGGGAAACGCUAGUCGGACAACCAGAGUGACCGUGAUUCUCUUUUUUCCCUGCUCACCUAGGGAAGGUGUGUCUCCUGGAACCCAAACUCAGACUGAAGACAAGAAAGAACAGUGCCAUGUAGCCAGUGAAGGAGACUUAUUUCUUCCUGUUUAAAGAAACAAGAAAUUUAGAAGACAACUUACUGCAUUUUUACUAUGAAGUGUUUUGUUUAAGAAAAUCAUGAACUGCAAUUGCAACAAAAGAGUAGCAGAAAAAUAAUCUUAUUUUAACUGGUAUUAACAGCCUGUAUCACUGAAUUAUCAAAUGGAGAAUGACUCACAGUAUCUUUGUGUCUUACAGGGAAUAUUACAUAAAUGUUUAUAUUUUUACUGUUGUGUGAUCUAACCUAUGUUUCUUCCAUUUCUUCUAUUGAGAUAUAAUUAACAUCUAG